Long non-coding RNA from Lutra lutra (Eurasian river otter), 220 nucleotides. RefSeq lists it as uncharacterized. Lineage: Eukaryota; Metazoa; Chordata; Mammalia; Carnivora; Mustelidae. The transcript is spliced from 3 exons. The record is from RefSeq and is a predicted model, not a curated record.
GGAAGAGGCAGCUCCUGUGGGAAAGAAGCUUCUAAGGACCAGACAUCCAAAUGAGAAGAGCAUUUGGACCACAGCCCAUGUGUAAGGACUUGUUGAAUGAAAUACAGUACAUUCACAAGAUGGAACCUUCUGCAGAUGAAGACAGGAUGAGGCAAACCCCCACAUGCUGACAUGGAGUGAUAUCCAGGUAUGCUGUCAGGUGUAAAAAGCCAGGUACAGA